This 395-nucleotide long non-coding RNA is filed under the name Pan troglodytes (chimpanzee). RNAcentral's name for it is "long non-coding RNA NONPTRT000300". Lineage: Eukaryota; Metazoa; Chordata; Mammalia; Primates; Hominidae. The record is from RNAcentral.
AAAAGGUAAGUAUGCUAUUUCAUUUAUGAGAAAGAAUAUUUUUCCCAUGAUCAUCUUGAAGAUUUUGUGCUUGUGGCAGGAGAAAUGAGGUUUUUAAAAAUGUCAAUUUUAUGAUUCUUCAAUUAGCAUAUUUCUCUGAGGUUUCCAUUUUUAGAGUGGAAUGUGCCAUUUAAACAGAAUAGUCUAUUUUAUGGUGAAAAAAUUCUGAUGUCACAGUGAAAAAAAAAAAAGAGCAAUAAUUCAAUAGUGUAGUGUGACAUACACCAGAGAAGAUAGAAUAGGGUGGUUUGGGGAGCCUGAAGCUAUACCUAUAGUCAUUUCUCACUUCAUAUUCCUCAAACUAGGCACCAAAAUACUGAUGAUUUGCUCUCUUGAGAACUGCACAGCUUCAGGGC